UGGCGACCGGCGCACGGGUGCGUAACGCGUAUGUAACCUACCUAUAACAGGGGCAUAACACUGAGAAAUUGGUACUAAUUCCCUAUAAUAUUCGGAGAGGCAUCUCUCCGGGUUGAAAACUCCGGUGGUUAUAGAUGGACAUGCGUUGUAUUAGCUAGUUGGUGAGGUAACGGCUCACCAAGGCAACGAUACAUAGGGGGACUGAGAGGUUAACCCCCCACACUGGUACUGAGACACGGACCAGACUCCUACGGGAGGCAGCAUG
Molecule: ribosomal RNA, 265 nt
Filed under: uncultured bacterium
Lineage: Bacteria
Description: partial 16S ribosomal RNA
Rfam family: Bacterial small subunit ribosomal RNA
Source: RNAcentral